Molecule: transfer RNA, 72 nt
Filed under: Ovis aries (sheep)
Lineage: Eukaryota; Metazoa; Chordata; Mammalia; Artiodactyla; Bovidae
Rfam family: tRNA
About the family: Transfer RNA (tRNA) molecules are approximately 80 nucleotides in length. Their secondary structure includes four short double-helical elements and three loops (D, anti-codon, and T loops). Further hydrogen bonds mediate the characteristic L-shaped molecular structure. tRNAs have two regions of fundamental functional importance: the anti-codon, which is responsible for specific mRNA codon recognition, and the 3' end, to which the tRNAs corresponding amino acid is attached (by aminoacyl-tRNA synthetases). tRNAs cope with the degeneracy of the genetic code in two manners: having more than one tRNA (with a specific anti-codon) for a particular amino acid; and 'wobble' base-pairing, i.e. permitting non-standard base-pairing at the 3rd anti-codon position.
Source: Rfam by way of RNAcentral
UCCCUAGUGGUCCAGUGACUAGGACUCUGGCUUCCCAAUGCAGGGGCCCAGGUUUGAUCCCUGGUCAGGGAA